This 72-nucleotide transfer RNA is filed under the name Ovis aries (sheep). It matches the Rfam family "tRNA". Rfam says of the family: Transfer RNA (tRNA) molecules are approximately 80 nucleotides in length. Their secondary structure includes four short double-helical elements and three loops (D, anti-codon, and T loops). Further hydrogen bonds mediate the characteristic L-shaped molecular structure. tRNAs have two regions of fundamental functional importance: the anti-codon, which is responsible for specific mRNA codon recognition, and the 3' end, to which the tRNAs corresponding amino acid is attached (by aminoacyl-tRNA synthetases). tRNAs cope with the degeneracy of the genetic code in two manners: having more than one tRNA (with a specific anti-codon) for a particular amino acid; and 'wobble' base-pairing, i.e. permitting non-standard base-pairing at the 3rd anti-codon position. Lineage: Eukaryota; Metazoa; Chordata; Mammalia; Artiodactyla; Bovidae. The record is from Rfam by way of RNAcentral.
UUCCUCAUAGCUCAGUUAGUAAAGAAUCCGCCUGCAAUGCAGGAGACCCUGGUUCGAUUCCUGGUGGGAAGA